AUACGGCUAGGCUAGAGGGAUGGAAGGAGGGGUCGCCGGAAUUCCCAGUGGUAGGAGGUGAAAUUCGUAGAUAUUGGGGAAAGACCCCCGGUGGCGAAGGCCGGCGACCUGGUCUCAUUUACUGACGCUGAGGGCGCGGACAGCGUGGGGAGCAAACAGGAUUUAGAUACCCCUGGUAGUCCACGCCCGUAAACCGAUGUGCGCUGGAUGUUGGGGUGGCCUAGCCACUCAGUGUCGUAGCUAACGCGGUAAAGCGCACCGCCUGGGGAGUACGGCCGCAAGGUUGAAACUCAAAGGAAUUGACGGGGGCCCGCACAAGCGGUGGAGCAUGUGGUUUAAUUCGAAGCAACGCGCAGAACCUUACCAGCCCUUGACAUGGUCACGACUGGUUCAGAGAUGGACCUUCCCCGCAAGGGGCGUGAUGCACAGGUGCUGCAUGGCUGUCGUCAGCUCGUGCCGUGAGAUGUUGGGUUAAGUCCCGCAACGAGCGCAACCCUCGCCUUUAGUUGCCAGCACGUUUGGGUGGGCACUCUAGAGGAACUGCCGGUGACAAGCCGGAGGAAGGUGGGGAUGACGUCAAGUCCUCAUGGCCCUUAUGGGCUGGGCUACACACGUGCUACAAUGGCGGUGACAAUGGGAAGCCAGGUAGCGAUACCGAGCCGAUCCCAAAAAGCUGUCUCAGUUCAGAUCGCAUUCUGCAACUCGGAUGCGUGAAGGUGGAAUCGCUAGUAAUCGCGGAUCGGCACGCCGCGGUGAAUACGUUCCCGGGCCUUGUCUCUCCCCCGUC
This 787-nucleotide ribosomal RNA is filed under the name uncultured bacterium. Its description in RNAcentral is "bacterial SSU rRNA". It matches the Rfam family "Bacterial small subunit ribosomal RNA", at positions 630 to 1398 of the family's 1533-position model. The record is from RNAcentral.